UCACACCAGUCGUUAGAUUGCACAAUUACAGUCGCCGUCCAAUCAUGCUUGAAGCUCAUCUUGACCGUCCGUUAGUACCAAUAUCUCUUGUUGUCAGAUCACUCUUAGAACAAUCCCUACCGUCCGAUCCACCUACCAGCCGAUAAACCGUGAUGCAGUGCGGUCCACGAUGGACCAUGAUGGUUGGGUGGGCCUGCGCCCGCGCUCGAGGGCCUGGGUGUGUGUCUAGGCUGGCUCAACAUGCUGCUAGCCUAGUGCCAGCAUGCUGUCAGGCCCGGCCCGCACUACCGACAGCCUGUGCUGGCUCAUGGGCCCCUCCGACAAUCCAUGGGUCGUACCAUCUACUCCCGAUCUGCUUUUGCAUGAAUCUCCACCGUCUGAAUUUUGUUUGAACUGUUCUUGGGCUUGUUAGAUUUCGUUCAUCAUCCUAGACCUCAUUCUGAGCUUAUUGUGGAUCGAAUCUUGAGGUAUUUUUCUCAAUAGAGAGAGGAAGGAUAAACUAUAAAUCUAUUCGAUCAUGGCACUAAAGGCCAGGGGAGAGGGAAGAAGAGAGGAAGAGAAGGGAUAAGGGAAGGGAGGAAG
Molecule: long non-coding RNA, 582 nt
Filed under: Elaeis guineensis (African oil palm)
Lineage: Eukaryota; Viridiplantae; Streptophyta; Magnoliopsida; Arecales; Arecaceae
Description: long non-coding RNA (EGUI_LNC010843)
Source: RNAcentral